Molecule: long non-coding RNA, 2358 nt
Organism: Anthonomus grandis grandis
Lineage: Eukaryota; Metazoa; Arthropoda; Insecta; Coleoptera; Curculionidae
Exons: 3
Source: RefSeq, a predicted model, not a curated record
AGAUCGAAGACUUUAUGAUUAAGCUAAAUGAGGCAUUAAGAAUUAUAGUGGCCUAACCCACAAAAAGUUGAUAUUUAGAUAAACCCAUAAAACAAUUCCCAAAUAUCCAAAGAAUCGACAGAAAAGUGGCCUAACCCAUUUUAAAUUUUGUACGUAUAGAUGUCGCCACAUGUUUCACUUAUUAUUAUUAUUUACAUGUUAUUUUUUCAUUUUUAAAUAUUAUACUGGCCUAUCGGGGGUAGGCUGUCACUGUCACUGGCCUAACACUGUCAUGUUAGGACUAUCACUUGUUUACUUACGUCUUGCGUUUAGGUUAAAACGUGGCUGUUCUUUUUCUCAGUAAAAGUUGUUUUUUUGAAAAAAAUUGGGUUGUGUUAGUAUGGAGAGUGUGGAUACUUCUUCUGAUUAUUCUGAUCCUUAUGCUACAGAUGAAGAGUCAGAUUAUCAGCCUUCAAGUAGUGAUUCGGAUUCUGAGCCUCAAACGCAAGCUGAGGAUGACAGUGCAGAACAAGGUGGGGCUUUAGUAGAAAAAAGGACAAGGAAGAGAGUACGCGCGGAAGAAAAUUGAAAAUCAAAUAAACGAAAGCUAAGAAGAGCAUCAGGCAUGGAUUAUAUUAAUAUAAAGGGGCAAAAAGUUAAUGCAAAAACAUUUAUUAAACCUGUUUGUAAAUGUAUUAAUAAGUGCUCUGAUAAAAUUAAGGUCGAUCAAUCUAAGAAACCCUUUGAAAAUUUUUAUAGUUUGGCAAAUUUUGACUUGCAGUCGUCGUAUAUAUUUGGACAAGUAAAUGUUAUAAAAAAUCAGGGUAUACACUGAUAAUGCAGGCGAAAUAUGACAAGGGUUUAUAAUUUGCCAAAUAAUGAAAAUGGAAUUGAUGUGAAGGUCUGUAAAGAAUUUUUUAAGCAAGUUUUGCAGAUUUCGGAUGGCAGAUUGUCAAGGGAUCUUCUCAAAAAGUCAGAGGGAAUCCCUCCGAUAGAUAAGCGGGGAAAACAUCCCUCUGCCAGGAGAACGCCCGAUUCAAAGGUUCAAGACGUUAAGACCUUUAUAGAUAGGUUUCCAGUUUUUGAGUCACAUUAUUCUAGAGCUUGUGGGCAACGAAAAUAUUUGGCUCCUUAUUUAAAUAUUCAAAUAUUAUACAAUCCCUAUAAAGAGCAGUACGCGUCACCUGUCAGCAAUUAUGUUUUUAGAAAUAUUUUCAAUACUCACUUCAACCUCCAUUUUCAUGCCCCAAUAACAGAUAGCUGACGCAGAUGCGAUGAUUUCAAUAAUAAAAUUAAAAUAAGUAAUAACGAAGAAAAAAAGAACUUAGAAAUACAAGAGGAGCUACAUCUUCGAAAAGCAAAACUGGCAAGAAAUGAAAUGAAAAAAGAUGAAGAAGAAGCAUUAGUAAAAGAAAACGAGACCGUUGCUAUUGCAUUUGACUUAAUGAAAACUUUACCCACCCCAGUAUUGUCCACAGGAAUUACAUAUUAUAAGCGUCAACUAUGGACAUAUUGCUUGGGAGUCCAUGAUUUAGCCCAUAAUACCGCAGUUAUGUACGUUUGGAAUGAAUCCGUCGCUUCAAGAGGGCCUCAAGAGAUUGGCUCUUGCCUUAUCCACUAUUGCAAAAAUUUUGUGUCAGAAAAAAAAACUUAUCAUGUAUAGCGAUCAAUGUGGCGGCCAGAAUCGCAAUACUAAGAUGGCACUCAUUUGCGACUAUAUAACAAAUUCAGCGCAAUUCUCUAUCACUGAAAUAAAUCACAAGUUUUUAGUAUCAGGUCACUCAUACCUUCCGUGUGAUCAAGAUUUUGGCGUUGUAGAAAAAGAAAAAAAAAUUUCAUAAAGAUGUGUUUAUACCGGAGCACUGGAUGACUGUUAAUAAAGCUGCACGAAAGAGAAAGCCAUUUCGAGUAAUUGAAAUGGAAAAAAAAACAUUUUUUUUCCACGAAGAUACUGGAGGGCGCUAUUACUAAUAGAAAAAGUAGUACAGAUGGCUCUAAGGUAAAGUGGCUAAAAAUGCAAUAUAUUAAAUUUUCGAAUGACACAAAACACCAAUUUCAUUUUAAAUACUCAAACUCAAGGAUGGUCCCAUUUAAUACAGUUUCAGUAGCCAAACGCAAUCCUUGUGAUCCAGUUGAAAAUUUGGAUCUGCUGUAUCCAUUAGGGCGUCCAAUAGAAAAAAAAAAGAUGACAUUAUGGAACUUCUUCCAUAUGUUCCACUAAUUUUUCAUGGCUUUUACCAUAACUUAAAGACAUCUGCCUCAGCGAUUGACGAACUGGGAGAAAACAGAGAUGAUGUGGCUGUGUAGGGCUCCUUGAAUAGACUUUCCUAAUUUUUUCAUGUACUAUCUGUAUUAAAAAUAUACAUUUUUGCAUUAUAA